UACGUAGGGGGCGAGCGUUACCCGGAUUUACUGGGCGUAAAGCGCGUGUAGGCGGCUGGCCAAGCGGGGUGUGAAAUCUUCGGGCUUAACCCGAAAACUGCAUUGCGAACUGGUCUGGCUAGAGUGUGUGAGAGGGUAGUGGAAUUCCCGGUGUAGCGGUGAAAUGCGCAGAUAUCAGGAGGAACACCAAUGGCGAAGGCAGCUCACUGGGACGGUAUUGACGCUGAGACGCGAAAGCGUGGGGAGCAAACAGG
Molecule: ribosomal RNA, 254 nt
Filed under: uncultured bacterium
Lineage: Bacteria
Description: partial 16S ribosomal RNA
Rfam family: Bacterial small subunit ribosomal RNA
Source: RNAcentral